Long non-coding RNA from Nicotiana attenuata, 325 nucleotides. RefSeq lists it as uncharacterized. The transcript has 3 exons. Lineage: Eukaryota; Viridiplantae; Streptophyta; Magnoliopsida; Solanales; Solanaceae. The record is from RefSeq and is a predicted model, not a curated record.
UUGCAGGCUAGUCAAGGGGAUCAUCUCCUUCAACUGGGAUAAGUGCUCAAAAUGAGUUCCAUUAGGAGCAUACUCAAGGUCCGUCAUCCUUGUCAAAGGUUAUACUCUUCACAAUAUCAAUGAGAUCAAGAAAAUUCUUGUGGUUCACAAGGUCGAUAUGCAAAAAAUUAGAGUCAAGAAGUGAAUAAUAUUGUGCAAAGGGUGUUCCCGUAGAGGUUCCAGUUGCCUCUAUAGUAUGCAGUCUCACCUAUUGAACUGUUGUGAAUCAAUGUUCUUGUAGUCAGCAUUGGAGUUCAUUUUUAGUUAGCAUUCAGGUUGUUCUGAA